This 529-nucleotide unclassified non-coding RNA is filed under the name Candida tropicalis. Its description in RNAcentral is "sequence contains 18S rRNA gene, ITS1, 5.8S rRNA gene, ITS2, 28S rRNA gene". The stretch from base 183 to 336 matches the Rfam family "5.8S ribosomal RNA". Lineage: Eukaryota; Fungi; Ascomycota; Pichiomycetes; Serinales; Debaryomycetaceae. The record is from RNAcentral.
UCGUAACAAGGUUUCCGUAGGUGAACCUGCGGAAGGAUCAUUACUGAUUUGCUUAAUUGCACCACAUGUGUUUUUUAUUGAACAAAUUUCUUUGGUGGCGGGAGCAAUCCUACCGCCAGAGGUUAUAACUAAACCAAACUUUUUAUUUACAGUCAAACUUGAUUUAUUAUUACAAUAGUCAAAACUUUCAACAACGGAUCUCUUGGUUCUCGCAUCGAUGAAGAACGCAGCGAAAUGCGAUACGUAAUAUGAAUUGCAGAUAUUCGUGAAUCAUCGAAUCUUUGAACGCACAUUGCGCCCUUUGGUAUUCCAAAGGGCAUGCCUGUUUGAGCGUCAUUUCUCCCUCAAACCCCCGGGUUUGGUGUUGAGCAAUACGCUAGGUUUGUUUGAAAGAAUUUACGUGGAAACUUAUUUUAAGCGACUUAGGUUUAUCCAAAACGCUUAUUUUGCUAGUGGCCACCACAAUUUAUUUCAUAACUUUGACCUCAAAUCAGGUAGGACUACCCGCUGAACUUAAGCAUAUCAAUAA